AGAGACAAUGUGGAGGCUAUAUACAGGGGGUACCGGUACAGAGUCAAUGUGGAGGCUAUAUACAGGGGGUACUGGUACAGAGUCAAUGUGGAGACUAUAUACAGGGGGUACUGGUACAGAGUCAAUGUGGAGACUAUAUACAGGGGUACUGGUACAGAGUCAAUGUGGAGGCUAUAUACAGGGGUACCGGUACAGAGUCAAUGUGGAGACUAUAUACAGGGGGUACUGGUACAGAGUCAAUGUGAAGGCUAUAUACAGGGGGUACCGGUACAGAGUCAAUGUGGAGGCUAUAUACAGGGGUACUGGUACAGAGUCAAUGUGGAGACUAAAUACAGGGUGUUACGGUACAGAGUCAAUGUGGAGACUAUAUACAGGGUGUUACGGUACAGAGUCAAUGUGGAGGCUAUAUACAGUGUGUUACGGUACAGAGUCAAUGUGGAGGCUAUAUACAG
Molecule: long non-coding RNA, 452 nt
Organism: Oncorhynchus tshawytscha (Chinook salmon)
Lineage: Eukaryota; Metazoa; Chordata; Actinopteri; Salmoniformes; Salmonidae
Source: Ensembl